GUAAGAGAAAGACCAGAUGCUAGACUUAGUGUUCUUUUUUCUGAUGAGGUGCUCCUCCUGUUUUAUCCCCAAGACUUGUGAUUGCUGAGACAAGAGAAGAUAUCGAGAGUACUGGUCAACCUUGGAAUUUGAGUCUCAGGAUAUGGCGGCCUGCAGUUUGUGAUUCGUAAGGAGAGGCCAGGGGUGACCCAGAUGCGGUUGGACAUAUGAGAAUCCCUGGUACUAGAACAGACGAGACCUGGAGAUCAACGCUAGUAGCUUGUGAUCAACUAGUUGGGGUUCCUGUAUGAACAACUAGUUGGGAUUCCUGUGUGAACAACUGGUUGGGGUUCCUGUGUGAACAACUGGUUGGCCUUCCUGUGUGAUCAACUAGUUGGAGGGUGGUGUCGCCAACUUCACAGCCUAGUUGCUAAUUUUACAUGAUGGCCAUUCAGAUAGGCAGGAACUCUUCCCUCCUUUGAAUCAUCCUUCCUUCCACAUCACCCUACGUCCAUAACAAAGUGUCUGGAGCCCAGAACCCAACCACUCAAGUUUAUAACUCUCCUACACAUACUUCCUAGCUACAUGAUUUGGGGCAAGUUAUAAUCUCUCUGUACUUCAGUUUCCUCAUUGGUAAGAUGGAAUUAGUAACAAUGGUUACUUUAUAGGGUUGUUGCAAAGGUUCAUCAAGUUAUUACAUCAUAUGAAGUAGUUAGAAUGGUGCACCCAUUACGUACUCAACAAAUGUUAGCUAUUCUUUUUAUUACUAUUCUCUCCAAGUAACCACAUCUACAUGUUCUAGCAUUACCUGUUUAGUGAGCUGUUUAAGGUGUGGGUUACCAACUCUACCCAUAUUAAAAACAUCUGUGGUAUACACACCUACUUUCACAUCUACCAACAUGUCAAACCAGAUUUACCUUAUGGUUCUUUUGGCCUCCAAGUCAAUGAGGUCCUGUGUGUGUCCGUCAUCUGGCAAGAUCGUUGUCCUCACGUUGUCUGAAUUCUAAGACAGCACCUUCACUGGUGCCUGAUGGACCCACCCCUUACCUGGAGACAGGGCUGUUUCCUUACCUCUCAGCCUUGGAAUUGCUCUCUCACCUCUGGUUUGCUUGACAUUUUGAUCAGAAAUAGGGGAAAAUCAACUCUGUGAGAUGAAAAGAAUGGUUGUAUUUUAAAGUCUAGAGGGGCACUGCCUCUGACGGCAUAAGUAACUGCCAUCUAGGGCUUGAGAAAACAUGUCAUAGCUGCGCCAAACCCAUCUUAGGCUUUGAAUGAAAGCCCAAAAUGUUUUCUGUUCUUAGCAUAAGCUAGAAGAGCUAUUUCUGGCAUUCCUUCUCUCUCUCUCUACUGCUCUACACUGGAUAGUCUUACUCUUGCUGGCACUAGGAUAAACAUAACCAAAUGGGGUCAUUACUUCUAACCUCCUUGGACACUGGAUUCGGACUACCCCAAGGGCACUAGGCAUCGGUCCGUCUCUGAAGCGGGCUGCACUUUGGGCACUUUUAUGUUGUGGUUGAAUCAGCCAUGACCUCCCUCCUGCACUGAGCUCAGGAUGCUGGGCCCUGUUAUGGGGCGGGGGUGAGUACAGAGUGUGCCUGGAUGGAAUCUUUAUGUCCCUCUCAACUGGAGAUGGCACGACUCUGACCACGUGUCUGCUCCGAGAGGCAUUGUCAGGAACCGUGUUGCAUUGUUCUCCCACCAGAAAGGCCGGAUGGCUGAACUAGGGCAGGCAUGUGUGGGGUUGGAGCUGUCCUUGCUCUGCAAACAGCCCCCAGCCUUGGGUCAACACUUUCGAUUGGGAGCUGUCUGCCAGUCAAAGUGUGGUCCAGUGUCCACCAGUGCACAGAACAAGGACCACAAGGCCAUCUUUCCCGAGCAGUGGCAAAGCCUGCCCCGUGGAGGAGGGAGCCCCGUGACCAGAGGGAGGAUGACUGACGGCUGGGAGAUGACCAUUCAGAGAGGUUGUAUCACACCCUCGCAGUGGGAAGGAAGUGCAACGACCUCAUUGCCAACAGCUUCCAGGAUAUUUUUUUCAUGAUAAGUUAUUCUUGAACAGACAAGACAUAGGGGAU
This 2051-nucleotide long non-coding RNA is filed under the name Equus asinus (donkey). Its description in RNAcentral is "lncRNA (ENSEASG00005038727.1)". The record is from RNAcentral. Lineage: Eukaryota; Metazoa; Chordata; Mammalia; Perissodactyla; Equidae.